Sander lucioperca (pikeperch) is the source of this 351-nucleotide long non-coding RNA. RefSeq lists it as uncharacterized. The transcript is spliced from 3 exons. The record is from RefSeq and is a predicted model, not a curated record. Lineage: Eukaryota; Metazoa; Chordata; Actinopteri; Perciformes; Percidae.
UGUUAUUUUUUGAAUUUCAUAUUAUUGCUGUAUAUCUGCUAAAUUUGUCUUUGUUUAGGAAUACUUGUCUACAUCACAGGUUUACAUCUUCACGAUGCCGAGAAAAGGGAAGAGGUCGCAGGCCCAAAAAGUGCGUUGGAGAAGGCUUGAUUUGACAGAUCCAGUCCAGAUCAGCCCACCGGACACCAGACCACAGACACCACCACAACACAGAACCUUCUGGAAGUCGGAUAAUGAACCCUCCUGCUCCAGUUCUCCAGCUAAAAAGAUGGAUGAAACACCUCCACCAGCGAGACCUUUCUGGGGAAAGGACAACCCACCCAGUCCCUCAUGUUCUCCAGCAACAAAGGU